This 206-nucleotide long non-coding RNA is filed under the name Lathyrus oleraceus (garden pea). RNAcentral's name for it is "Pisum sativum (pea) long non-coding RNA (PSAT_LNC026311)". The record is from RNAcentral. Lineage: Eukaryota; Viridiplantae; Streptophyta; Magnoliopsida; Fabales; Fabaceae.
AAAAACGUAAUAAAGAAGUACCUCAAACGUGAUGAUGAAGAUUCAUUUAAGGUUUAAAAUAUAGAUGAUGUUCGUGUUUUGAUGAGAGUGACGAUGAAAAUCGUCAACAGUUGGAAGAGUUUUGAUGAGAGAGUGACGAUAAAAAUCGCCUAGGUUUCUGCGCAGCGAAUGACGAUGAAGUUAAAGCGUUGAUAGAUAAACGAAAA